RNAcentral lists this ribosomal RNA (449 nucleotides) under uncultured bacterium. RNAcentral describes it as "partial 16S ribosomal RNA". It matches the Rfam family "Bacterial small subunit ribosomal RNA", at positions 330 to 795 of the family's 1533-position model. The record is from RNAcentral.
CCCAGACUCCUACGGGAGGCAGCAGUGGGGAAUAUUGGGCAAUGGGCGCAAGCCUGACCCAGCAACGCCGCGUGAAGGAAGAAGGCUUUCGGGUUGUAAACUUCUUUUAAGAGGGAAGAGAAGAAGACGGUACCUCUUGAAUAAGCCACGGCUAACUACGUGCCAGCAGCCGCGGUAAUACGGAGGAUGCGAGCGUUAUCCGGAUUUAUUGGGUUUAAAGGGUGCGUAGGCGGAAUGCCAAGUCAGCGGUAAAAUCGCGGGGCUCAACCCCAUCCAGCCGUUGAAACUGGGGAUCUAGAGUGUGCGAGAGGUAUGCGGAAUGCGUGGUGUAGCGGUGAAAUGCAUAGAUAUCACGCAGAACUCCGAUCGCGAAGGCAGCCUACCGGCGCGCAACUGACGCUCAUGCACGAAAGCGUGGGUAUCGAACAGGAUUAGAUACCCCAGUACAC